This 253-nucleotide ribosomal RNA is filed under the name uncultured bacterium. RNAcentral describes it as "partial 16S ribosomal RNA". It matches the Rfam family "Bacterial small subunit ribosomal RNA", at positions 524 to 776 of the family's 1533-position model. The record is from RNAcentral.
UACGGAGGGUGCAAGCGUUAUCCGGAUUCACUGGGUUUAAAGGGUGCGUAGGUGGGCGUUUAAGUCUAUGGUGAAAUCUUUCAGCUUAACUGAGAUACUGCCGUAGAUACUAUUCGUCUUGAAUUUUGUAGAGGUGAACGGAAUAUGUCAAGUAGCGGUAAAAUGCAUAGAUAUGACAUGGAACACCAAUUGCGAAGGCAGUUUGCUAUACAAUAAUUGACACUGAGGCACGAAAGCGUCGGGAGCAAACAGG